Molecule: ribosomal RNA, 506 nt
Filed under: uncultured bacterium
Lineage: Bacteria
Description: partial 16S ribosomal RNA
Rfam family: Bacterial small subunit ribosomal RNA
Source: RNAcentral
AUUGAACGCUGGCGGCAGGCCUAACACAUGCAAGUCGAGCGGCAGCGGAAAGUAGCUUGCUACUUUGCCGGCGAGCGGCGGACGGGUGAGUAAUGUCUGGGAAACUGCCUGAUGAAGGGGGAUAACUACUGGAAACGGUAGCUAAUACCGCAUAACGUCGCAAGACCAAAGAGGGGGACCUUCGGGCCUCUUGCCAUCAGAUGUGCCCAGAUGGGAUUAGCUAGUAGGUGGGGUAACGGCUCACCUAGGCGACGAUCCCUAGCUGGUCUGAGAGGAUGACCAGCCACACUGGAACUGAGACACGGUCCAGACUCCUACGGGAGGCAGCAGUGGGGAAUAUUGCACAAUGGGCGCAAGCCUGAUGCAGCCAUGCCGCGUGUAUGAAGAAGGCCUUCGGGUUGUAAAGUACUUUCAGCGGGGAGGAAGGCGAUAAGGUUAAUAACCUUGUCGAUUGACGUUACCCGCAGAAGAAGCACCGGCUAACUCCGUGCCAGCCGCCGCAGUAA